Molecule: ribosomal RNA, 468 nt
Filed under: uncultured bacterium
Lineage: Bacteria
Description: bacterial SSU rRNA
Rfam family: Bacterial small subunit ribosomal RNA
Source: RNAcentral
GAUGAACGCUAGCGGCAGGCUUAAUACAUGCAAGUCAAGGGGGUAGCAAUACAACCGGCGCACGGGUGAGUAACGCGUACACAACAUACCAUAUACUGGGGUAUAGCUUCGGGAAACUGAAGGUAAUCCCCCAUAAUAUUGCGGGAAGGCAUCUUUCUGCAAUUAAAGUUUCGACGGUAUAUGAUUGGUGUGCGUUUGAUUAGCUAGUUGGUAGGGUAACGGCCUACCAAGGCGACGAUCAAUAGCUGGCGUGAGAGCGCGACCAGCCACACUGGAACUGAGACACGGUCCAGACUCCUACGGGAGGCAGCAGUAGGGAAUAUUGGACAAUGGGCGAAAGCCUGAUCCAGCCAUGCCGCGUGAUAGAUGAAGGCCCUCUGGGUUGUAAACUGCUUUUGUACGGGAAGAAACACCCCCUCGUGAGGGGGCUUGACGGUACCGUAAGAAUAAGGAUCGGCUAACUCCGUG